UGACUGCAAGAGUAUGUUCCUUGUAGAACAUGUGGAAGAGCCGAAAGAAGACAAUUUCUAUGCCUUGGCACCUUGCUUUUUUUGCUAUUUAACUUCUUUGGAAGAAAACGUGCCCUGGUGUUCUGGCUGCCUUGGGUUGGGUGAUUAGGAAGAGAGCUUGUCCCCCUGCACUUCAGUUUCUUUUUCCUCCAAGCUGUGGGCUCACCGACCUUGCUGUGUGACCUUGGGCAGAUGACAGAAGCUCCUGAGCUCCAGGCCCUCCUCUGUCCUGUGAGGGAGGCCAGCGGGCAUUGUCUCCAGAACUCUCCGCCGGCUGGAGAAGGGCAGUGCGCGGUGGCCGAGGACCAGGACGCAGGGCCGCCGGAGCCGCCGGUCUUCGGAGCUGAAACACCGCGGAAGGGGAAGCACCAGUGCAGGCCGGGGCCCUGCGGGGGCAGACGCGGGACUGGGCGCUGCUGCUGUGAUGGAGCCGGUGUCCGGGGCAGGGCCCGGGUGGCCGACUGCAGGCGCCCCCUUUGGGCCCCAGUUUCCAGCCUCAGGUGUGAACAAGCUGCACGAGGUGGAAGUGAGUAUCUCUGCAGGAAGCAGGGUCAGGCGGGGCGGGUU
RNAcentral lists this long non-coding RNA (606 nucleotides) under Dasypus novemcinctus (nine-banded armadillo). RNAcentral's name for it is "lncRNA (ENSDNOG00000049893.1)". Lineage: Eukaryota; Metazoa; Chordata; Mammalia; Cingulata; Dasypodidae. The record is from RNAcentral.